GGAGUCUAGCAUGUGCGCGAGUCAUUGGGACGCGUAGCAAAACCUAAAGGCGAAAUGAAAGUGAAGGCGCGCCUCGCGCGCGCCUAGGGAGGAUGGGCGACGUCCUGAGGACCACGAUCCGAAGGCGCCGUCGCCCCGCACUCCCGGGGCGUCUCGUUCUCAUCGCGAGAAGAGGCGCACCCAGAGCGUACACGCUGGGACCCGAAAGAUGGUGAACUAUGCCUGGUCAGGACGAAGUCAGGGGAAACCCUGAUGGAGGUCCGUAGCGAUUCUGACGUGCAAAUCGAUCGUCGGAACUGGGUAUAGGGGCGAAAGACUAAUCGAACCAUCUAGUAGCUGGUUCCCUCCGAAGUUUCCCUCAGGAUAGCUGGCGCUCGCGAAACUUGCGAGUCUCAUCCGGUAAAGCGAAUGAUUAGAGGCAUUGGGGUCGAAACGGCCUCAACCUAUUCUCAAACUUUAAAUGGGUGAGAUCUCCGGCUUGCUUGAAAGUUGAAGCCGCGAGAUCGGAUCAGAGUGCCAAGUGGGCCACUUUUGGUAAGCAGAACUGGCGCUGUGGGAUGAACCAAACGCGGAGUUAAAGCGCCUAAAUCGACGCUUAUGGGAUACCAUGAAAGGCGUUGGUAACUUAAGACAGCAGGACGGUGGCCAUGGAA
Molecule: ribosomal RNA, 653 nt
Filed under: Octinodes sp. UPOL RK0306
Lineage: Eukaryota; Metazoa; Arthropoda; Insecta; Coleoptera; Elateridae
Description: eukaryotic LSU rRNA
Rfam family: Eukaryotic large subunit ribosomal RNA
Source: RNAcentral